Molecule: long non-coding RNA, 648 nt
Filed under: Medicago truncatula (barrel medic)
Lineage: Eukaryota; Viridiplantae; Streptophyta; Magnoliopsida; Fabales; Fabaceae
Description: long non-coding RNA (MTRU_LNC008139)
Source: RNAcentral
CAAAUCCUAGGACACCUCCUACCACACUACCACCAAAUCCUAGGACACCUCCUACCACACCACCAGCAAACCCUAGGACACCUCCUACCAGACCACCGACAAACCCCAGAACACCUCCUACCACAUCACCACCAAAUCCUAGGACACCUCCGACAAAUCCUAUGACACCUCCUACCACACCACCAGCAAACCCUAGGACACCUCCUACCACACCACCGACAAACCCGAGGACACCUCCUACCACACCACCGACAAAUCCCAGGACACCUCCUACCACACCACCACCAAAUCCUAGGACACCUCCGACAAAUCCUAUGAAACCUCCUACCACACCACCACCAAAUCCUAUGACACCUCCUUCGACACCACCACCAAAUCCUAGGACACCUCCUACCACACCAUCACCAAAUCCUAGGACACCUCCUACAAAUCCUACCACACCACCAACAAACCCUAGGACACCUCCUACCACACCACCGACAAAUCCUAGGACACCUCCUACCAUACCACCACCAAUUCCUAGGACACCUCCUACCACACCACCACCAAAUCCUAGGACACCACCGACAAAUCCUAGGACACCUCCUACCACACCACCACCAAAUCCUAGGACACCUCCUUCGACACCACCACCAAUUCCUAGGACAC